CUAACUAUAUAUUCAUAAUCUAAACCAUGUUCCAAACAUACACCGUGUUUAUCACACAAAGUAUAGUGCCCCGCCCCCUACAUUAUGACAAGUAUUGUAACGCCCACGAUGCGGCUAUAUCUCCCACGUGUCGAAGCACGACUUAGAGGCAUAACCGCAUUGUGGUUUUAUCGCAAGAAGGGUCAUCUUCACACAAUCCCAUGUAAUGAACAAGAAAGGGAUAAAUAGAGUUGGCUUACAAUCGCCACUUCACACAAUACUUAAAUAAGUCAUACAUCAUUCAGAGUACACACAUAGGUCCGACUACGGACAAAUCCAAAAGAAAGAAGACAACACCAAAUGCUAGAUCCUCGAUUGUCCCAACUGGGCUCCACUACUGAUCAUCCGGAAAAGAAACAUAGUAAUGACCAAGAUCCUCAUCGAACUCCCAACUCAGCUCGGUUGCAUCACCUGCACUGGUAUCAUCGGCACUUACAACUAUUUGGUAGUAUCUGGUGAGUCACGAGGACUAAGCAAUCUCAAAAACCCGCGAGAUCAAGACUAUUUAAGCUUAAGGGUAGGAUAAGGUAAUGAGAUGGAGUUGCAGUAAGCACUAAGCAAAUAUGGUGGCUAACAUACGCAAAUAAGAGCGAGAAGAGAAGCAACGCAACGGUCGUGAAGCUAGAAGUGAUCAAGAAGUGAUCCUGAAACUACUUACGUUCAACCAUAACACAAACCGUGUUCACUUCCCAGACUCCGCCGAGAAGAGACCAUCACGGCUACACACGCGGUUGAUGCGUUUUAAUUAAGUCAAGUGUCAAGUUCUCUACAACCGGAUAUUAACAAAUUCCCAUCUGCCACAUAACCGCGGGCACGGCUCUCGAAAGAUUAUACCCUGCAGGGGUGUCCCAACUUAACCCAUCACAAGAUCUCACGAUCAGCGAAGGAUAUUCCUUCUCCCGGAAAGACCUGAUCAGUCUCGGAAUCCCGGUUACAAGACAUUUCGACAAUGGUAAAACAAGACCAGCAAGACCGCCCGAUGUGCCGACAAAUCCCGAUUGGAGUCGCACGUAUCUCGUUCUCAGGGCACAUCUGAUGGGCAAGACAUCGGGUUGGCAUAGACCCUGGUUGCCCAGGGGGCGCCGGAUAUCGCCCGGUUCGGACCAACACUUCGAGAAGCACUGGCCCGAGGGGGGGGGGUUAAAAUAAAGAUGACCCUCGGGUUUAUAACUCCCAAGGGAAAAUUAGUAGGUUGUUAGGCAAAUGUAAAACCAAGGUUGGACCUUGCUAGAGGAGUUUUAUUCAAAGCGAACUGUCAAGGGGUUCCCAUAAACCCGACCGCGUAAGGAAGGCAAAAUCAAGGAACAUAACACCGGUAUGACGGAAACUAAGGCGGCAAGAGUGGAACAAAACACCAGGCAUAAUGCUGAGUCUUCCACCCUUUAUCAGAUAUAUAGAUGCAUUAAUUAAAUAAGAGAUAUUGUGAUAUCCCAAUAUAAUCAUGUUCCAACAAGGAGCAAUCUUCAACUUCACCUGCAACUAACAACGCUAUAAGAAGGGCUGAGAAAAAGCAGCAACUUAGCCAAACAACGGUUUGCUAGGAAGAGUGAAAAGGUUAGAUGCUAACUAUGCCACGCUAUCACAACUUGCUCCAAGCUAAACUAUUUAGAAACGAAGGUUAAAAUGCCAUCUAUCUAUGAGUUAAAACUUGAACGACUCCAAUAUUCUUCCUAGAAAGAAGGACAACGAGUCCUAUAUUGAUGCAUUCCAGGACCUUUCCUUUCUAAGUUCCUGCCAUGUUAAUUGCAGAGUUAUUGAUUUUGGGACGGAGGGAGUAUUAUAAAGUUAAAGUUGUUGAAGCUUGUCAGAGUUGAGUAAUUAUAAAUGUUACUUUGGAUAUGUUUAGUUCCAUCUUACUAUAUAAAGAGAACAUCAGCUAUGGUAUUAAAAAAUAAACCCACCAACACGUAGCAGAGCUACAUAUAUUAUGAAUGUUAAUACAAAAACACUUUGAAUGAGUACUCGGGUUUUCUUACAUAUAUUUUCAAAAGGCUGCCUCAAGCAAUAUUACUAAAUCAAACCAACCAAAGUAUAGUUCUAAUUCUAAGUGCAAAAUAUGAGUGCUCGGUUCUUCCACAAGGCACAUCAUCUGAUAUUAAGUACAUUUUGUAAUUUCAAAAUUAUGAGAAAAUAUUUCAUGUUGCAAGACUGGAUGAUCUCACUGGAGGGUCCUUGCCACUACAACACAUGUUACCAUACUAAUGAACAAACACUUCCUCGUAUACAUUAGGGGUUUGCAAAUGUUACAAUCCACUAUCUAAAACAGUCUGGACAUGAAUGUAACUUUUAUUGGAUGAUUCAAAAUGCGGUGUUGCAUAUACAGUAGCUAGUAGCUACUAUACUUUAACUAAAGAACAUGAAUCUGAAAAGCACAAACAUAUCAGGAAGCAUUGGUAUAACGGAAAAUUGAUUUGCAGUCAGUUAAAGGAUGACAUAAAAGAAAAUUUUGGCAUCCAGUCCAAGAUUGCAUAUACUUCUAAAGAACAUGAAUUAAAGCAGUUUAUUCAUAUAGCAUGGAUCCUUUCGUCUGAAGUAAAGAAGCCCAUGAAGUAAGGAUCCGGAUACCUCGGGGUGGAGUGGAAAUGGCGGGGU
RNAcentral lists this long non-coding RNA (2631 nucleotides) under Triticum aestivum (bread wheat). RNAcentral's name for it is "long non-coding RNA (TAES_LNC016326)". Lineage: Eukaryota; Viridiplantae; Streptophyta; Magnoliopsida; Poales; Poaceae. The record is from RNAcentral.